RNAcentral lists this ribosomal RNA (736 nucleotides) under uncultured bacterium. RNAcentral describes it as "bacterial SSU rRNA". It matches the Rfam family "Bacterial small subunit ribosomal RNA", at positions 8 to 796 of the family's 1533-position model. The record is from RNAcentral.
AGAGUUUGAUCCUGGCUCAGAACGAACGCUGGCGGCAGUAACACAUGCAAGUCGAACGCGUGUAGNNNUACACGAGUGGCGCACGGGUGAGUAACGCGUGGAUAUCUGCCUUUUGGUUCGGAAUAACCCCGGGAAACUGGGGCUAAUACCGGAUGGUUCCUACGGGAUAAAGAUUUAUCGCCAAAAGAUGAGUCCGCGUACGAUUAGCUAGUUGGUGAGGUAAUGGCUCACCAAGGCGACGAUCGUUAGCUGGUCUGAGAGGACGAUCAGCCACACUGGGACUGAGACACGGCCCAGACUCCUACGGGAGGCAGCAGUGGGGAAUAUUGGACAAUGGGGGCAACCCUGAUCCAGCCAUGCCGCGUGAGUGAUGAAGGCCUUCGGGUUGUAAAGCUCUUUUGGCGGGGACGAUGAUGACGGUACCCGCAGAAUAAGCCCCGGCUAACUUCGCGCCAGNNGCCGCGGUAAGACGAAGGGGGCUAGCGUUGUUCGGAAUUACUGGGCGUAAAGCGAGUGUAGGUGGUCCAAGUUGGAUGUGAAAGCCUUGAGCUCAACUCAAGAAAUGCAUUCAGGACUGGGCGACUAGAGGACCGGAGAGAGUGGAAUUCCCAGUGUAGUGGUGAAAUACGUAGAGAUUGGGAAGAACACCAGUGGCGAAGNNNNGCUAUCUGGACGGUUUCUGACACUAAGACUCGAAAGCGUGGGGAGCAAACAGGAUUAGAUACCCUAGUAGUCC